UAUCAAUAAGGCGGAGGAAAAAGAAACCCAACAGGGAUUGCCUCAGUAACGGCGAGUGAAGCGGCAACAGCUCAAAUUUGAAAUCUGGCCCUUUCAGGGUCCGAGUUGUAAUUUGUAGAGGAUGUUUCGGGUGUGGCUCCGGUCUAAGUUCCUUGGAACAGGACGUCAUAGAGGGUGAGAAUCCCGUAUGUGACUGGUAGCCUAUGCCCAUGUGAAACUCCUUCGACGAGUCGAGUUGUUUGGGAAUGCAGCUCAAAAUGGGUGGUAAAUUUCAUCUAAAGCUAAAUAUUGGCCAGAGACCGAUAGCGCACAAGUAGAGUGAUCGAAAGAUGAAAAGCACUUUGGAAAGAGAGUUAAACAGUACGUGAAAUUGUUGAAAGGGAAGCGCUUGCAACCAGACUUGCAUGUAGCUGAUCAACCGGUGUUCUCACCGGUGCACUCAGUUGCGUUCAGGCCAGCAUCGGUUUCGACGGUUGGAUAAAGGCCUUGGGAAUGUAGCUCCUCUCGGGGAGUGUUAUAGCCCAGGGUGCAAUGCAGCCUGUUGGGACCGAGGACCGCGCUUCGGCUAGGAUGCUGGCGUAAUGGUUGUAAGCGACCCGUCUUGAAACACGGACCAAGGAGUCUAACAUCUAUGCGAGUGUUUGGGUGUCAAACCCAUACGCGUAAUGAAAGUGAACGGAGGUGAGAACCCUUAAGGGUGCAUCAUCGACCGAUCCUGAUGUCUUCGGAUGGAUUUGAGUAAGAGCAUAGCUGUUGGGACCCGAAAGAUGGUGAACUAUGCCUGAAUAGGGUGAAGCCAGAGGAAACUCUGGUGGAGGCUCGCAGCGGUUCUGACGUGCAAAUCGAUCGUCAAAUUUGGGUAUAGGGGCGAAAGACUAAUCGAACCAUCUAGUAGCUGGUUCCUGCGAUU
RNAcentral lists this ribosomal RNA (910 nucleotides) under Phacidiopycnis washingtonensis. RNAcentral's name for it is "eukaryotic LSU rRNA". It matches the Rfam family "Eukaryotic large subunit ribosomal RNA", at positions 41 to 968 of the family's 3401-position model. The record is from RNAcentral. Lineage: Eukaryota; Fungi; Ascomycota; Leotiomycetes; Phacidiales; Phacidiaceae.